UCAAUUAUUUAUGUGAUGCCCCCAUAUCCAGGUAUAUACCACUCAAUUUGAGUCGUCAAAAUACAUACUACAAACAAAAAAUUUCCUAUUUACAACUAUUAUAAUGUCAUGAAACAUACGACAACACACAAUGUGACGCCCCCAAAUCCGGAUUAUCUUUAACUCAAAUUUGGUGCUCACGAUACUAACAUACCCAUUCAUACUAUCAUAACCUGUCUUACAUUACAUAAAUAUCGUACUUAAAUCCCAAGUUUUAUAGACCUUUACAUAUCUUACAAACCAAAUAACAUUACAAAACAUAGUACUAACAAUAUUUAUUACAUCUACUUAAGUCCAUACAAGCACAAGCGCUUAAUAAACAUUUAUUCUGCAACUUUGCCUUUUCCUUUAUCUUUCUCAGAUGGACCAACGCCCUCGGUUUUAACUGAAAAUAUUAUAUUUAACGCAAGGGUGAGCAAAAGCUUGCUCAGCAAGGAAAUAAGCAGUUGAAUAUAAUGGAACAAAAAUAUUUAUAGCAACGAGGAUACAAUUCAAUAGAUAACGAACAAGACAGUUCUUCAAAAGUUUUAAGUCUGAAAAUCAGGCUUUAUCAUGCUUUAAGGUCAAAUGACCAGUGAACUCUGUACUAGAAUUGACAGUACUAACACUGCAAUCCAUGGAUACAAAAAGUUAUUGAAGCUAUUUUAUAUCCUAGACUUGUACUUUAGAGUAUCAGCCUAAGUACCCUACAUUGUGCACAACAUAACAGUCUAAUAUGUCCUUCGGAAUCAUAUGUCCAGUACAAUAUGCCCCUAUAAAAGGGUUGUUCAUUCACAGCAUUAUGUAAGAAUCCGCGCCACAACAAAAUGGUUUGAAAAACAUUAAAUGAGAUUUUCAUGAAUAAUAUCAAUGUAUCUUAACAGUUGUCUAACCGAAAUAAUGGCAUUGACAUUCUUUUAAUAUUAACUUAUUUAAGAGAAAAAAGUUUGAUAUACUUGAUAACAUCCUAACUAUUCUCUUGAAGCUGAUUGGAAUAAAAAGGUUAUUCAACUUUGUAUUAUUCAUAAAUAAUGAGUGACAGUUCAGAAUUUAGAGAAUCUGUCCAUAUACGAAUAAUUUUAGAAUACUUGCUCAAUAAAGAGUAAGAGUUAAAAACUUGCUUUGUUUGUAGAUUACUGAUACAGACUCAAUUUAACUAGUGUGUUUUCACAGGUCCUACACAAGUAUUUGCAUUUAUAAGCAUAUUAGCCAAAUGGUCAAUUCAUAUUAGCUUGUAUGUUCACAUAUCACAUGAUCACAGUGAUCAUGUUUUAUUCUAUACAUUAUUCAAAUACCUCAUCUAUGUCUUCACAAUAGCCAUUUUUCACUUUGAUGGGGAUCGACAUGCUUAUAACAUGCAAUAGGAAUCACCUUAAAGUUAUCAUUUACAUCUUAAUCAUGAUUUAUAGUUUCAUUUCAAUAUACUAAUACAUUAACUAUCUUUGUUUUUCUACAUUAUGCUAAAACAGCCCUUUGAGUAGACCUGGCAAACGGGCCGGGCGGGCCGGGCCGCACCCGGGCCAACAACGAGUCGGGCCAAAAUGGCCCGGGUUUUGGCGGGCUGCUAAAGUGAGGCCCGUGGCUCGGGUUGGGCCGGCCCAACCAGCGGGCUUCUUCCUCUAUUUUNNNNNNNNNNNNNNNNNNNNNNNNNNNNNNNNNNNNNNNNNNNNNNNNNNNNNNNNNNNNNNNNNNNNNNNNNNNNNNNNNNNNNNNNNNNNNNNNNNNNUACUACUAUAAUAUUUUUAAAUCUUUUUUUAAAUAGGAAAAGUUGAAAAUAACUCAUUGAGCAACUAAAUUAUAUAUGAACAUGCCUUAAUUAAGUCUUAAUAUAUAAAAAUAGUAGUAGAAUUUUGUAGCUUUAUUUUAUUUUGUUUUUUUAUUUUAUUUUUAAGUGAUAUUGGGAGAAAUGAUUGUAGAUCACACGACCUUCAAUCUGUAUUUUUUAUUAAAGUUAUUUUAAGAAGUAUGACAAAAAUAAAUUUAUGAGCACUUCUACAUACACAAGAAAUUGGGACAGAAAAAUUGGAUAUUUUUAAUUUAUUUAUUUUUGGCGUAUACUAGAUCUGGCAAACGGGCCGGGCGGGCCAACGACGGAUCGGGCAAAAUGGUCCGGGUUUUGGCGGGCUGGUAAAAUGAGGCCCGUGGCCCGGGUUGGGCCGGCCCGGCCCGCGGGCUUCUUCCACUAUUUUUUUUUUUUUAUAAAAUCUUGUUACACCAAAAAUAGUAAUAAUAAUAAAUAUUAAAAAUAAUAAAAUAAUUUAUAAUAAACAAUAUUUCUAAUUACCUACAAUAAUUCAACAGAUCUGUCAUGACGAAAUGCAAUAUUAACAGUGUGCUUGUUGGCAUUGCAAGUUUGUUAGGCCAGGCAAACUAUUACUUUCAAUAGUUAGAAAAAACGAAAAAUAACUACUAUUUUGACAAAUUCCUAUAAAUGACAAAUAGAGUGAUCUUUUGAACAGUUAUUAGUGCACAGCUAUAUAUUCAAAUUGUUGAUAGUUUCAAUAUACAAUUGCUUGAAUCUGUUUAAAAGAGAGAAUACAUAUAAGUUCAACUCUUCCACCUUUUCUUUUCGAAUUUCUUUGGGAUGGUGGGUGACAUGAAAAUGCCUACAAGACAUAAUACUAUAAUAGGAAUAUUAGGUUGUACUUCACGUAUAAAGAGGAAUUCAGACUCACUUAAAUUUUACAUGUUUGUUUAUGCAAACAUGUAUGCAGAUAUGUGCAGGUCUGUGUCUAUAACUAAAUAAUCAUUUUAAUAUGUGGCCCUUUGAUUAGAUUGUCUAAGGUUUGAUUUUCAUAAACAAAAGAUUUGGCAAACCAUUUUCCUACAUGAGAAUGGAUGUUAACUAUACCUAAUUUUCUUUUGUUUAUAUUUCUUGAGAUAAAUGGCUUCUUUUUUUUUUGGUGAUUGCGGCAGGAGAAACUGAAGGAAAUAGAGCGAGCUUUUCGUAAGCGGAAAGAAAGAGAAGAACAAGAAGUAGAGAGGGUGCGAUCAAAAGCUCGUAGAAAGGAAGCUGUUGAGUCUUAUCAAGCUUUACUUGUUGAAACAAUUAAAGAUCCUCAGGUAGGUUUUCAUAUUCCUUUGGUGUUGUAAUUCAGAAUAUGAAGGAUAAAGAAGGAUUUUUCUCCCUAUUCAACUACCCAUCCAAGAGCAUUUGGCUUCAGAAUACUUGUUUUUUUUUUCUAUGAAAAAGCAAGAGAUGAAAAUUGUUGUUCUAAAUUCUGCCUUAUUUCAUGAGAUCUAGAAGCGCAACUUUCUCUCUAUCCAUUUCCCUAGCGCUCUUUUUUUACUUCUUUCAAAGGGGAAUGAAGGCCUAACUUAGAAGUUGUUGCUCAAUCGAAAGGAUAUAACACAUACGAAACGUUAGCUUCGCUGACUUUCUGAGGUAUAACCCUCUUUUCCUAAAGAUCCUCUCAUUUUGCCACUAUAUCUCACUGUGGCCACCCUUGUGGAGAAGAUUACAGGGCCAAUCUCUUCUGGCUCACUUCGCUUGGCAUUCACAGUUGUGAGGUUGCACAANNNNNNNNNNNNNNNNNNNNNNNNNNNNNNNNNNNNNNNNNNNNNNNNNNNNNNNNNNNNNNNNNNNNNNNNNNNNNNNNNNNNNNNNNNNNNNNNNNNNCAGGCAGCCCGGCCCGGCCCGCAGGCCUGAGCCAUCUUUGCCAGGUCUACCUUUGAGGCUUAAACGGUCCCAAUUUGGCUUAAUACAUCCUACCCAUUUAUAGUUCAAAUAUAUGCUAAAAAAUACUUUUAUUAGUUCAUUUAGAUAAGUUAGGACCUUACUAUCCUUAAACUUUACUUUUAGAAAUAUACUACAAAAACUUAAGUUAUGAUUUUUGAAGCACCUUUGAGGUUUUGUAGAAUUUUCUACGAUAGACUUUUGAACCUAUAAUUUGUGCAUUUUUAUAUACCAAAGUAUUUUUGUAUUUGUUUAGGUUUCCAAGUAAGCCUCUUUAUGCUUCUUGAAACUAAUGCCCAAGCUAGGCCAUUAUUUACAUUUUUGAGUUUACUAGUUUUAGUCAAAUCUUGCCAAUUUCAUUUCUAGCCACCUUGGUUCAUUCCAACACUUGAAUUAUAUCUAGUUAGAACUAGUUCUAGCAUUCCUUUAGGUUUCCUAAGCAUAGAUUGGGUUUUGACUCUCUAAAGCUAGCUUUUCCAAGUUUUUACACACUAACUUCUCAAGUUUUUGUAUACAUUAACGUUCCAACACUUGGAAUAGCCUAACAUACCUCUAACUCACUUGUCUAAGGUGUCCAAACUGAUUUUCAGGUAAAAUAGAAAAAUCUCAAAUUUUCAUACUAGACAAAUUUGCAAAAAACUGCAAUUUUAGUGAUUUUCCAUGCUAGUUUGGUGAUUUGUUUAAACUUCUUGGUUAAGCCAAGCGCUUAACCACUAGGCCCAACUUCUAGAUCAUACUUCAAAGUAUUUUAAUCAAGGUUUAGGUUUAUUGUUCAUGCCCAUUAAGCUUUCCAAAAUAGGGUUCAAACUUAGCCAUUUUCUCACUUUUUUUACAACUGUUUUUAAACUUUUUCUAAAUUUUUCUAGUUUGGCCACUAGGAUAGUCUAGUCAUGUGUAUUUAAGUUACUUAAGGAUACUUUUAGCAUCACCGCACUUUAUUUAAUCAUCUAGCCCAUUUUAAUCUAUCAAAGCUCACUUUAGGCUUGAAAAAGAGAUCUUAACUUAGUUUUCUUGAUAACUUUGGUCUUGGAACUGAUUGGAAACCAUUAUAAGCAUACAUUAGCAACUUUAUAUGAGUUCAUUACAGCCCUCUAAGUUCAGGUGCUAACAAUCACCAAAAACAGUCCACUAUUUAUCUUAAAAUGUGAUUUUUAACAAGUCUAAUGAUCAAAACAGUUUAGACUUGGUUUCUUUAGCUUGAGUAUCCUACUUAGGUCAUAUUUUAGCUAUUGGAACUUGUCUACAUAGUCCAGAUAUGGUAGUUCUUCAUUUAGGCGCUAAUUGUUCUUUAAAGCUUAUUUUCAUUAAUUUUUAAGCAAGAAUUUGCACAACACAGCAUGUAGACCUUAACUAACUUAGGGAACAACUUUUACAUGCUUCUUAUGGACUUUUUAUGGCCCCCUAAUUGACUCAUAUGUUUAGGUUCUGGACUUGAUCAAAACAGUUCCCAAAACUUGAAUUUAAGCACAGUUUUGACUAUAACUUUCUAAACAGUCCACAAGUAGGCAAAAUAAACCUUAGUAUUCAAACAACUUUUAAAACAGAUAAUAACCUAACCCUAUAUCCAUUAUCAUGCUUGCAUCAGUUAGCUAACUUCUUCAUAUCCAAAACAGCCUAUACAAUGCAUUUUAGGCAUGAUAUAGUACUAAAUCCACAUAACAGUCUUAAGACUUCACAACAAGCAUUAUCAUAUUAUAUAUUGACUAUAUAUACUAUAUUCAUGCUUAGAACACAUAAGUAUGCAAGGUGUUAUACUCAAAACAGCCUUCUAUAGAUUUAAAUUGCAUAAGAAACAUGUUUUAACAAUUUAAUUAGCAAAAUAACAUGGUUAUGUAACACAUGAACAUGGGCUAACCUUUUACAUAAAAUUUAACAUGCAUAGCUUUGAUUUGGAUGGUUUAAAACAGGUCAUACCUUGACCAUCCACCAACAGUCCACAAAUAAACCAUAACCAAGCCAUUUAGCUAUCACACAAGCACACCAAAACAGUGGCAAAGUCUGGCCUGUUUUAACAGGCCCAGACUGCCCUAUUUUUGCUCCUUUACUAACAGAAAAGUUACAUAAUUACUUUAUCCCUAAUCUUUAAAGUUUAGCACAUUUAGACACCAUAUAUAUAUAACAUGAAAACAACCUUUGCAGCAUGACAACUUAAACAUAAACAAGUUCCUAAUUAACAGUCAAUUUAUUUGGUUUAGUUCAUUAACAAAGCUAUCAUAGUGUGAAAUUGGUUUUAAAAAUAGAAUAUACUUAAGUGUAGAGCAUAUUUGAAGUAUAGAUGCAUCUUAUAUUAGAAAAUAGACAUGCUCUUGGACUCUAUUCACAACUAGUAUACAUGGUGCUAAAUCAUUCCUUAUCAAGUCAUCUAAGCUAGCAUACAUGUUAUCAAACAGUGGCUUGGUCUGGCCUGUUUCAAAUAAGCACAGACUGCCCUGUUUGCCCCUUUUUUGGCUGACUUGCAAUGCAUAGACUCGCUACUAUUAACCUUCAAGGUUUGGUACUUUUAGAUACUUUAUUAAAGUAUAAAAUCCACACCAAAAACAUGACAAUAGUUAUAUCACAAGCUUCAAAUAACAGUCAAAAUAACUUAUUUUGCUCAUAUAUAAAGCUAUCAUUUAAGAUUGUUUACACAACUUACACAAAAUAUAUAGCACAUAGCAUAAGGAAGUAUUUUAAGCAUAUAUAUAAUCGCUCCGUUUCAUUCUUAACCUGCUUCCCAAAACAGUACCCAAAGUUGCUUUAAUGUGAUAAAAUCUCAACCACUGUUUUAGCCUAAAAAUGCACUUUGCUUGCAGUCAACAUGCUAAAUCACUUUAAUCAUCAAUACAUGAAAUACAGAAUUCAAUUUCCAGCUUUGAGUUUGCCUAAUAUCCGACUUUUAGACAUAACAGUCCACUUGGGACUUUUGUCAAACAUGUUGUGUCCACAGUGCUAAGUUACUAAUUUCAUAGCUAUAGGUUUAUAUCAAAAACCCAUAAUAACAUCCUUAUUACUCCACAGCCCAGCCUAUCUCCUUGUGCCUAAAUUCAGUCCAUGACAAUAGCAUAUCAGUCAUUUAAUUACUACAACAGUAACAUAGCAACUAAAAGAAAAUUAAUGUAACAGUCCUUCAAGUCCAUGCCCAGCUAUUCGGCCAUUACAGUCUAGCUCCUUAACAAGGAUGGAAUAAAAAAGGAAUGGAAGGGGAUCGGAAAACUUACCUUAAUAGCUCAAAGAUUGCAAAUGGUUGUUGAUCAAUUCCUUAUCCUCCUCAGUCAGACUCCCUUCUCCUCUAUUUAAGUGUGUUUCGGUUUUUGAAGCUCAGUUAGUAGUAUACCAACAGAAAUUGAGGUACUUUGUAUGGCUAUAUGUAGAUAAGGAAGAAGGGGCUAGUCAUCAUGGCUCUAUUGCUGGCUUUCUUCAUCCUCUGCCUAGCUAUAUUGUGGCCUCAUUCAGCCCCCUGACACAGCAGUCAGUUGGCCUCUACUAAUCUUAGCUAAUACACCAUACUUGGCCCCUACAUUAGCUAUCUUACCCCCUUGUCUCUUGCAGUAACUUGACCCCUACCAGCCUCCUAUAGCUUAGCCUAGCAUCUAACUAAAUACUAACCAACUAAUUGAUUUCUCCCUUGUAACCAACUAUGCUAUCUACUAACUAAUAAGACUCAGCUUAUUUCACUCAACGUGGGCUGGAAUGGACAAUGAAAU
This 7377-nucleotide long non-coding RNA is filed under the name Panax ginseng (ginseng). RNAcentral's name for it is "long non-coding RNA (PGIN_LNC004208)". The record is from RNAcentral. Lineage: Eukaryota; Viridiplantae; Streptophyta; Magnoliopsida; Apiales; Araliaceae.